RNAcentral lists this long non-coding RNA (1267 nucleotides) under Junco hyemalis (dark-eyed junco). RNAcentral's name for it is "lncRNA (ENSJHYG00000009368.1)". Lineage: Eukaryota; Metazoa; Chordata; Aves; Passeriformes; Passerellidae. The record is from RNAcentral.
GGGAUGGGGUGGGGAAUGUUGGGAAUUUUGGGAAUGGGGUUGGGAAUGUUGGGAAUUUUGGGAAUGGGGUUGGGAAUGGUGGGGAUGUUGGCAGUUGGGGGAUAAUGGUCAGGCUUUGGCGGGAAGGGGUCCCGGUGUUGGUUCAGGGGUGUUUGUUGGGUUUACAGGAGAAAUUUUGGGUUUUUCAAAGAGUGGAGAGCAGUGGGAAAUGGGAGGGAAAAUCCUAAAGAAAUGCAGUUCUCCAUAUCCCAAAUCCUGCUAUCCAAACCCCACAUCCCAAAUCCUGAUUUCCACAUCCCAAAUCCCAAAUCCUGAUUUCCAAAUCCCAAAUCCUCAUCCCAUGUCCUGUCGUUCCCAGUUUCCUCCCCCACGGUGGGCAAACCCUACAAGUGCAGCUCGUGUGGCCGCAGCUACAAACAGCAGAGCAGCCUGGAGGAGCACAGGGAGCGCUGCCACGGCUUCCUGCAGAGGGAGAGCCCCGCACAGACAGGUGGGUCUGCGAAAAAUCCUGGGAAAAUCCCGUGAAAAUCCCAGAAAAAUCCCAGGGAGGAAAAGUCCUGGGAAAAUUCUGGGAAAAUCCCAGAGAAAUCCUGAGAAAAUCCUGAGAAAAUCCUGGAAAAAUCCCAUGGAAAUCCCACAAAAAUCUCAGGGAAAAAUCACAGAGAAAUAAUGGAAAAAUCCAAGGAAAAUCCCAGAGAAAUAAUGGAAAAAUCACAGAAAAAUCCUGGGAAAAUCCUGAAGAAAUCCCAGGAAAAUCCUGAAGAAAUCCCAAAGAAAUCCCAUGAAAAUCCCGGAUCCUGAAUCCCCAGGGACAGGAAAUGGGGUGGGAAUGGGACAUUGGGAUCCCAAAUCCACGGAUAAAGGAACCUCCAAUGGAAAACCCUGCACAGACAGGUGGGUCUGGAAAUGCUGGAAAAAUCACGGAAAAAUCCUGAAGAAAUCCUGGGAAAAUCCCAGGAAAAUCCUGAAGAAAUCUCAGGAAAAUCCCAGGAAAAUCCUAAAAAAAUCCUGGGAAAAUCCUGAAGAAAUCCUGGGAAAAUCCCAGGAAAAUCCUGAAGAAAUCCAGGGAAAAUCCCGGGAAAAUCCUAAAAAAAUCCUGGGAAAAUCCUGAAGAAAUCCUGGGAAAAUCCCAGAUCCAUGGAAAAGGUUUGGGACUGAGGGAAUGUGAUCCCAAAUCCAUGGAAAUGUUUGGGAAGUGUUGGGAUUGUGCUCCCAAUGUGAGUCCAUGCCCCCACAGCUGACCCCAAAUCCCUGAUCCCAAACCCCC